Molecule: long non-coding RNA, 366 nt
Filed under: Elaeis guineensis (African oil palm)
Lineage: Eukaryota; Viridiplantae; Streptophyta; Magnoliopsida; Arecales; Arecaceae
Description: long non-coding RNA (EGUI_LNC001521)
Source: RNAcentral
CUCCCUCUAAAAGUAAAUUUCGUCUUCAAUUUUUUUUUGCUUAAGUUCUCAAAAAUUCAGAUUAUUUUUAUCAUAAUUAUUUUUUAAUUUUAAAAUUGAAUCUUUCAGCAUGGUAUCUUUCAGAUCAAAUUUUUACUUUGAUCAAUCUGAGAAUAAUUCAGACUACUAUGCUUCCGCUGUGUAUUUUAAUUCAAAUCUAAUAAUGUACUUGUGUCAAUUUUAAGUUCCUAGAUUAUGUCAUAAUCAGUAUAAGUCAUUGUCUCAAUGUCUAGAGUAUCUACCUAUCUACACUCAUGUCUGAUUCUGUGUAUUAUAAUUUAUCCACUUAUGCUCUGAUACUAUAUUAAUUGUCAUACCCCUGAUCCG